Molecule: ribosomal RNA, 2902 nt
Filed under: Shigella flexneri 4343-70
Lineage: Bacteria; Pseudomonadati; Pseudomonadota; Gammaproteobacteria; Enterobacterales; Enterobacteriaceae
Description: bacterial LSU rRNA
Rfam family: Bacterial large subunit ribosomal RNA
Source: RNAcentral
UUAAGCGACUAAGCGUACACGGUGGAUGCCCUGGCAGUCAGAGGCGAUGAAGGACGUGCUAAUCUGCGAUAAGCGUCGGUAAGGUGAUAUGAACCGUUAUAACCGGCGAUUUCCGAAUGGGGAAACCCAGUGUGAUUCGUCACACUAUCAUUAACUGAAUCCAUAGGUUAAUGAGGCGAACCGGGGGAACUGAAACAUCUAAGUACCCCGAGGAAAAGAAAUCAACCGAGAUUCCCCCAGUAGCGGCGAGCGAACGGGGAGCAGCCCAGAGCCUGAAUCAGUGUGUGUGUUAGUGGAAGCGUCUGGAAAGGCGUGCGAUACAGGGUGACAGCCCCGUACACAAAAAUACACAUACUGUGAGCUCGAUGAGUAGGGCGGGACACGUGGUAUCCUGUCUGAAUAUGGGGGGACCAUCCUCCAAGGCUAAAUACUCCUGACUGACCGAUAGUGAACCAGUACCGUGAGGGAAAGGCGAAAAGAACCCCGGCGAGGGGAGUGAAAAAGAACCUGAAACCGUGUACGUACAAGCAGUGGGAGCACGCUUAGGCGUGUGACUGCGUACCUUUUGUAUAAUGGGUCAGCGACUUAUAUUCUGUAGCAAGGUUAACCGAAUAGGGGAGCCGAAGGGAAACCGAGUCUUAACUGGGCGUUAAGUUGCAGGGUAUAGACCCGAAACCCGGUGAUCUAGCCAUGGGCAGGUUGAAGGUUGGGUAACACUAACUGGAGGACCGAACCGACUAAUGUUGAAAAAUUAGCGGAUGACUUGUGGCUGGGGGUGAAAGGCCAAUCAAACCGGGAGAUAGCUGGUUCUCCCCCGAAAGCUAUUUAGGUAGCGCCUCGUGAAUUCAUCUCCGGGGGUAGAGCACUGUUUCGGCAAGGGGGUCAUCCCGACUUACCAACCCGAUGCAAACUGCGAAUACCGGAGAAUGUUAUCACGGGAGACACACGGCGGGUGCUAACGUCCGUCGUGAAGAGGGAAACAACCCAGACCGCCAGCUAAGGUCCCAAAGUCAUGGUUAAGUGGGAAACGAUGUGGGAAGGCCCAGACAGCCAGGAUGUUGGCUUAGAAGCAGCCAUCAUUUAAAGAAAGCGUAAUAGCUCACUGGUCGAGUCGGCCUGCGCGGAAGAUGUAACGGGGCUAAACCAUGCACCGAAGCUGCGGCAGCGACGCUUAUGCGUUGUUGGGUAGGGGAGCGUUCUGUAAGCCUGUGAAGGUGUGCUGUGAGGUAUGCUGGAGGUAUCAGAAGUGCGAAUGCUGACAUAAGUAACGAUAAAGCGGGUGAAAAGCCCGCUCGCCGGAAGACCAAGGGUUCCUGUCCAACGUUAAUCGGGGCAGGGUGAGUCGACCCCUAAGGCGAGGCCGAAAGGCGUAGUCGAUGGGAAACAGGUUAAUAUUCCUGUACUUGGUGUUACUGCGAAGGGGGGACGGAGAAGGCUAUGUUGGCCGGGCGACGGUUGUCCCGGUUUAAGCGUGUAGGCUGGUUUUCCAGGCAAAUCCGGAAAAUCAAGGCCGAGGCGUGAUGACGAGGCACUACGGUGCUGAAGCAACAAAUGCCCUGCUUCCAGGAAAAGCCUCUAAGCAUCAGGUAACAUCAAAUCGUACCCCAAACCGACACAGGUGGUCAGGUAGAGAAUACCAAGGCGCUUGAGAGAACUCGGGUGAAGGAACUAGGCAAAAUGGUGCCGUAACUUCGGGAGAAGGCACGCUGAUACGUAGGUGAAGCGACUUGCUCGUGGAGCUGAAAUCAGUCGAAGAUACCAGCUGGCUGCAACUGUUUAUUAAAAACACAGCACUGUGCAAACACGAAAGUGGACGUAUACGGUGUGACGCCUGCCCGGUGCCGGAAGGUUAAUUGAUGGGGUUAGCGCAAGCGAAGCUCUUGAUCGAAGCCCCGGUAAACGGCGGCCGUAACUAUAACGGUCCUAAGGUAGCGAAAUUCCUUGUCGGGUAAGUUCCGACCUGCACGAAUGGCGUAAUGAUGGCCAGGCUGUCUCCGCCCGAGACUCAGUGAAAUUGAACUCGCUGUGAAGAUGCAGUGUACCCGCGGCAAGACGGAAAGACCCCGUGAACCUUUACUAUAGCUUGACACUGAACAUUGAGCCUUGAUGUGUAGGAUAGGUGGGAGGCUUUGAAGUGUGGACGCCAGUCUGCAUGGAGCCGACCUUGAAAUACCACCCUUUAAUGUUUGAUGUUCUAACGUGGACCCGUGAUCCGGGUUGCGGACAGUGUCUGGUGGGUAGUUUGACUGGGGCGGUCUCCUCCUAAAGAGUAACGGAGGAGCACGAAGGUUGGCUAAUCCUGGUCGGACAUCAGGAGGUUAGUGCAAUGGCAUAAGCCAGCUUGACUGCGAGCGUGACGGCGCGAGCAGGUGCGAAAGCAGGUCAUAGUGAUCCGGUGGUUCUGAAUGGAAGGGCCAUCGCUCAACGGAUAAAAGGUACUCCGGGGAUAACAGGCUGAUACCGCCCAAGAGUUCAUAUCGACGGCGGUGUUUGGCACCUCGAUGUCGGCUCAUCACAUCCUGGGGCUGAAGUAGGUCCCAAGGGUAUGGCUGUUCGCCAUUUAAAGUGGUACGCGAGCUGGGUUUAGAACGUCGUGAGACAGUUCGGUCCCUAUCUGCCGUGGGCGCUGGAGAACUGAGGGGGCUGCUCCUAGUACGAGAGGACCGGAGUGGACGCAUCACUGGUGUUCGGGUUGUCAUGCCAAUGGCACUGCCCGGUAGCUAAAUGCGGAAGAGAUAAGUGCUGAAAGCAUCUAAGCACGAAACUUGCCCCGAGAUGAGUUCUCCCUGACCCUUUAAGGGUCCUGAAGGAACGUUGAAGACGACGACGUUGAUAGGCCGGGUGUGUAAGCGCAGCGAUGCGUUGAGCUAACCGGUACUAAUGAACCGUGAGGCUUAACCUU